UCCCCUGAGUCCAUACUACAAUUACAUUCUUUAAAAGAAAAGGUGUAGCAGAAAAGUUAAUUUACCAAUGUAGGUCCAAAAUAGUUGAAUUUUACAAAAUAUUUGAUGAAAAGUUCGAAGAAUAAAAAGAAAAAGGAAAAAAAAGUCUGAAAUAUAUCCGAACUUUGAUCGAAAUUGUUGUAACAAUAUCAAACUUUGGAAAGGACCUUUUACUCCCCUGAACUAUUUAAUAGUAUAUUUUAAAGGUAUAUAUGUGUCCACGUGGAC
Molecule: long non-coding RNA, 267 nt
Filed under: Solanum tuberosum (potato)
Lineage: Eukaryota; Viridiplantae; Streptophyta; Magnoliopsida; Solanales; Solanaceae
Description: long non-coding RNA (STUB_LNC000453)
Source: RNAcentral